GUGAGGAAUAUUGGUCAAUGGGCGCAAGCCUGAACCAGCCAUCCCGCGUGCAGGAAGACGGCCCUAUGGGUUGUAAACUGCUUUUCCGGGGGGAGAAUUUUUCCGUCGUGACGGGAAUUGACGGUACCCCGGGAAUAAGCAUCGGCUAACUCCGUGCCAGCAGCCGCGGUAAUACGGAGGAUGCGAGCGUUAUCCGGAUUUAUUGGGUUUAAAGGGUGCGUAGGCGGAAUGAUAAGUCAGUGGUGAAAACCUGCAGCUUAACUGUAGACUUGCCGUUGAUACUGUCAGUCUUGAGUGUGGUCAAGGUAGGCGGAAUGUGUAAUGUAGCGGUGAAAUGCUUAGAUAUUACACAGAACACCGAUUGCGAAGGCAGCUUACUGGGCCAUUACUGACGCUGAUGCACGAAAGCGUGGGGAUCGAACAGGAUUAGAAACCCCUGUAGUCC
RNAcentral lists this ribosomal RNA (445 nucleotides) under uncultured bacterium. RNAcentral describes it as "partial 16S ribosomal RNA". It matches the Rfam family "Bacterial small subunit ribosomal RNA", at positions 354 to 796 of the family's 1533-position model. The record is from RNAcentral.